CAAGUUCUUCAAUUCAUAAUUCCUGAGUUCUUUAAUUACUUUUAUUUACAUUCAAGUUAUUUAUUGGAUUCUCGCUUGCAUCAAGUGCCCUAGUCUUUGAAACGCUAGAGUAGUAAUUAAUAGAUUAGACGUGGUGUUUAGUCUUGCAAUUACCUAGAAUUGCACCCAAUCCUGCGGAUUGUUGUGGUAGCCCUAGGGUAGUGACAGCCCUAACGGUCGAUGUAUUCCACC
RNAcentral lists this long non-coding RNA (231 nucleotides) under Sorghum bicolor (sorghum). RNAcentral's name for it is "long non-coding RNA (SBIC_LNC012807)". The record is from RNAcentral. Lineage: Eukaryota; Viridiplantae; Streptophyta; Magnoliopsida; Poales; Poaceae.